UACGGAGGAUGCGAGCGUUAUCCGGAUUUAUUGGGUUUAAAGGGUGCGUAGGCGGAACAUUAAGUCAGCGGUAAAAUCGAGGGGCUCAACCCCUUUAAGCCGUUGAAACUGGUGAUCUUGAGUGGGCGAGAAGUAUGCGGAAUGCGUGGUGUAGCGGUGAAAUGCAUAGAUAUCACACAGAACACCGAUUGCGAAGGCAUCUCACGAAUCCGCGAUUGACGCUGAUGCACGAAAGCGUGGGUAUCAAACAGG
RNAcentral lists this ribosomal RNA (252 nucleotides) under uncultured Bacteroidales bacterium. Its description in RNAcentral is "partial 16S ribosomal RNA". It matches the Rfam family "Bacterial small subunit ribosomal RNA", at positions 524 to 776 of the family's 1533-position model. Lineage: Bacteria; Pseudomonadati; Bacteroidota; Bacteroidia; Bacteroidales. The record is from RNAcentral.